AGGAAACAAAGCAUUUGGUCCCAGCUUAAGUCAUCUUGUUCCACACAAGUGGCGUGCAAAUUGCUCUUGGAGAUCACUGUCCUAGCAGAGUGGCUGCCACAUGGCCAGUAGCAGGUGCUUAGCAAAGUCUUCCUCUUUGUGGCAUUAGGGCCUCAGCCUCUUUCACAGGCUGACUCAAGUUGAGAACAUUAUUGGUCUAUGUAGCUUGUCUCCCUCUCUAGCCAUCUUGGCAGCUGCUCCUGAUUGGAGGCCAUCCUGUGUCUGAGGCAGGAAGAGGAUUGUGGUCACCAAGAAGAUGGAGAAGGUGUCACAGUCAGUCUACUCUAGGCUCCAACUUGUUAUUAAAGGUGGAAAGUACAUGUUAGUGUUCAAAAUAGACUCUGGAGAAAAUCAGAUGAGGCAAAAUGAAAUUGGUCAUCCUUGCUAGUAACUGCCCAGCCUUUGAGGAUGUUUGGAAUAGACUACUGUGCCAUUUUGGCCAAAGCUGGUGUCCAUCAUGACAAUGGCAAUAAUAUUGAAUUGGGCACAGUGUGCAGAAAAUACUAUGGAGUAUAUACCCUGGCUGCUACUAAACCAGUUGAUUCUUAAAUUAUUAGAAGUAGGCCAGAGCAGACUGGAGAAAAAGUAAGACAUGCAAUAUUUUUCUCCAAUCAGACUUU
RNAcentral lists this long non-coding RNA (659 nucleotides) under Marmota monax (woodchuck). Lineage: Eukaryota; Metazoa; Chordata; Mammalia; Rodentia; Sciuridae. The record is from RNAcentral.